UGUUUGUGUGUUUGUAUGUGUGUGUAGUCAUAUGCUUGUCUCAAAGCUUAAGCCAUGCAAGUGUAAGUUCAUGCCGUAAACGAAUGGUAAAACCACAAA
Long non-coding RNA from Octopus sinensis (East Asian common octopus), 99 nucleotides. RefSeq lists it as uncharacterized. NCBI's taxonomy places the organism in Eukaryota, Metazoa, Mollusca, Cephalopoda, Octopoda, Octopodidae. The transcript is spliced from 3 exons. The record is from RefSeq and is a predicted model, not a curated record.